CCCCUAGUAACUCGGAGUGAAGCGGGAAAAGCUCAAAUUUAAAAUCUGGCAGUCUUUGAUUGUCCGAGUUGUAAUCUAGAGAAGUGUUAUCCGCGUUGGACCGUGUACAAGUCUCCUGGAAUGGAGCAUCAUAGAGGGUGAGAAUCCCGUCUUUGACACGGACUACCAGUGCUUUGUGAUGCGCUCUCAAAGAGUCGAGUUGUUUGGGAAUGCAGCUCAAAAUGGGUGGUAAAUUCCAUCUAAAGCUAAAUAUUGGCGAGAGACCGAUAGCGAACAAGUACCGUGAGGGAAAGAUGAAAAGAACUUUGGAAAGAGAGUUAAACAGUACGUGAAAUUGCUGAAAGGGAAACGCUUGAAGUCAGUCGCGUUGGCUGGAAAUCAACCUUGCUUUUGCUGGGCGUACUUUCUAGUCAAUGGGUCAGCAUCAAUUUUGACCAUUGGAAAAAGUGUAGAGGAAUGUGGCAUCUUCGGAUGUGUUAUAGCCUUUGCUCGCAUACAGUGGUUGGGAUUGAGGAAUUCAGCAGGGAAAAAA
Molecule: ribosomal RNA, 532 nt
Filed under: Conocybe crispa
Lineage: Eukaryota; Fungi; Basidiomycota; Agaricomycetes; Agaricales; Bolbitiaceae
Description: eukaryotic LSU rRNA
Rfam family: Eukaryotic large subunit ribosomal RNA
Source: RNAcentral